CACCGCCCGUCGCUUCUACCGAUUGGUCGUCCCUGUGAACGAUCGGGAGGGCGCGCUGCUGACCAGCAAUGAUCACAGUGCAUGCGAACAUUUCGAAAUUUGGGACAAGAGGAAGAAGAAGUCGUAACAACCUGUUCGGCAAGCG
Molecule: ribosomal RNA, 145 nt
Filed under: Beta vulgaris subsp. vulgaris (sugar beet)
Lineage: Eukaryota; Viridiplantae; Streptophyta; Magnoliopsida; Caryophyllales; Amaranthaceae
Description: rRNA SSU_rRNA_eukarya
Source: RNAcentral